CCUGACUGCUAUCGGAUUGAUACUAAGCCAUGCGAGUCAUUGUAGCAAUACAAGGCAGACGGCUCAGUAACGCGUAGUCAACCUAACCUAUGGGCGGGAAUAACCUCGGGAAACUGAGAAUAAUGCCCGAUAGAACACUAUAUCUGGAAUGGUUUGUGUUCCAAAUGAUUUAUCGCCGUAGGAUGGGACUGCGGCCUAUCAGUUUGUUGGUGAGGUUAUGGCCCACCAAGACUAUUACAGGUACGGGCUCUGAGAGGAGUAGCCCGGAGAUGGGUACUGAGACACGGACCCAGGCCCUAUGGGGCGCAGCAGGCGAGAAAACUUUGCAAUGUGCGAAAGCACGACAAGGUUAAUCCGAGUGAUUUGUGCUAAACGAAUCUUUUGUUAGUUCUAGAAAUACUAACGAAUAAGGGGUGGGCAAGUUCUGGUGUCAGCCGCCGCGGUAAAACCAGCACCUCAAGUGGUCAGGAUGAUUAUUGGGCCUAAAGCAUCCGUAGCCGGAUCUGACAGUUUUCGGUUAAAUCUGUAUGCUCAACAUACAGGCUGCCGGGAAUACUGCAGAUCUAGGGAGUGGGAGAGGUAGACGGUACUCGGUAGGAAGGGGUAAAAUCCUUUGAUCUAUUGAUGACCACCUGUGGCGAAGGCGGUCUACCAGAACACGUCCGACGGUGAGGGAUGAAAGCUGGGGGAGCAAACCGGAUUAGAUACCCGGGUAGUCCCAGCUGUAAACUAUGCAAACUCAGUGAUGCAUUGACUUGUGGUCAAUGCAGUGCUGCAGGGAAGCCGUUAAGUUUGCCGCCUGGGAAGUACGUACGCAAGUAUGAAACUUAAAGGAAUUGGCGGGGGAGCACCAGAAGGGGUGAAGCCUGCGGUUC
Molecule: ribosomal RNA, 875 nt
Filed under: uncultured archaeon
Lineage: Archaea
Description: bacterial SSU rRNA
Rfam family: Archaeal small subunit ribosomal RNA
Source: RNAcentral